UCAUCAUCACCAUCAUCCUGACUAGUCUUUCAGGCUGCUGUGUGCUGGAAGACAUUUAACCCGUCUUCCGGUGGCAUGAAUACGAUAAAAAACCCUCGGAAGAUUUUCCGGGGGUUUUUUGUU
This is a non-coding RNA of Xenorhabdus doucetiae, 123 nucleotides long. The record is from Rfam. NCBI's taxonomy places the organism in Bacteria, Pseudomonadati, Pseudomonadota, Gammaproteobacteria, Enterobacterales, Morganellaceae.